GGAUGUGAGGGCAGUCUGGCUGACAGCAUGGCACCCCAUUGAUCACCAGGGUGUAUUCCACUGAUCUGGCUCACUGGGCAGUGUCCCCUUCCUCUCUCACCGUUCCAUGUGUGUCCCUCCCAAUGCUGCAUGUUUUGUCAAAGAGGAAGAGCUUCCUUGAGCACAGGAGGACUGGCAUUUGGUCAAGGGUGUACAAGCUGUCGUGCCUCCCUGCAAACAAGCUCUCAAACUACAUUCAGUUCGACUUCUUUUGUUGUUGUUGUUUUGAGGCAGGGUCUCACUGUAGCACAGGCUGACCUGGAACUCAUUCUGCAGUCCCAAGCU
Molecule: small nuclear RNA, 324 nt
Filed under: Jaculus jaculus (lesser Egyptian jerboa)
Lineage: Eukaryota; Metazoa; Chordata; Mammalia; Rodentia; Dipodidae
Description: 7SK RNA (ENSJJAG00000001810.1)
Rfam family: 7SK RNA (bases 1-261)
About the family: 7SK was discovered as an abundant small nuclear RNA in the mid-70s but a possible function has only recently been suggested. Two independent studies have found that 7SK RNA binds the CDK9/cyclin T complex (known as elongation factor P-TEFb).
Source: RNAcentral